CUUGGUCAUUUAGAGGAAGUAAAAGUCGUAACAAGGUUUCCGUAGGUGAACCUGCGGAAGGAUCAUUAAGGAAUUGCCCCAUUUUUUGAAAUGGGUUCUAUUCCCAAACCGUGUAUACAUACCUUUGUUGCUUUGGCAAGCCGUCCUUCGGGCGCAGCUUCGGCUGAGAGCGCUUGCCAGAGGACCCCAACUCUUUUGUUUAGUGAUGUCUGAGUACUAUAUAAUAGUUAAAACUUUCAACAACGGAUCUCUUGGUUCUGGCAUCGAUGAAGAACGCAGCGAAAUGCGAUAAGUAAUGUGAAUUGCAGAAUUCAGUGAAUCAUCGAAUCUUUGAACGCACAUUGCGCCCCUUGGUAUUCCGAGGGGCAUGCCUGUUCGAGCGUCAUUAUGACCACUCAAGCCUAGCUUGGUAUUGGGGUUCGCGGUCUCGCGGCUCUUAAAAUCAGUGGCGGUGCCAUCUGGCUCUAAGCGUAGUAAUUCUCUCGCUAUAGGGCUCCGGUAGUUGCUUGCCAAAACCCCCCUAUUUCUCUCGGUUGACCUCGGAUCAGGUAGGGAUACCCGCUGAACUUAAGCAUAUCAAUAAGCGGAGG
Molecule: ribosomal RNA, 590 nt
Filed under: uncultured Rhizoscyphus
Lineage: Eukaryota; Fungi; Ascomycota; Leotiomycetes; Helotiales; Helotiaceae
Description: eukaryotic LSU rRNA
Rfam family: 5.8S ribosomal RNA (bases 232-385)
Source: RNAcentral